UGGAGAGAUAGCUCAGUGGUGAAGCGCUUCUCUAGCAUAGGUGAGGCCCUGGGUUCCAUCCCCAGCACUGCAA
RNAcentral lists this transfer RNA (73 nucleotides) under Marmota monax (woodchuck). Its description in RNAcentral is "tRNA.Ala". The record is from RNAcentral. Lineage: Eukaryota; Metazoa; Chordata; Mammalia; Rodentia; Sciuridae.